ACGCACGCUGGCGGCGUGCUUAACACAUGCAAGUCGAACGGAAAGGCCCUGCUUUUGUGGGUGCUCGAGUGGCGAACGGGUGAGUAACACGUGAGUAACCUGCCCUUGACUUUGGGAUAACUUCAGGAAACUGGGGCUAAUACCGGAUAGGAGCUCCUGCUGCAUGGUGGGGGUUGGAAAGUUUCGGCGGUUGGGGAUGGACUCGCGGCUUAUCAGCUUGUUGGUGGGGUAGUGGCUUACCAAGGCUUUGACGGGUAGCCGGCCUGAGAGGGUGACCGGCCACAUUGGGACUGAGAUACGGCCCAGACUCCUACGGGAGGCAGCAGUGGGGAAUAUUGCACAAUGGGCGGAAGCCUGAUGCAGCAACGCCGCGUGCGGGAUGACGGCCUUCGGGUUGUAAACCGCUUUCGCCUGUGACGAAGCGUGAGUGACGGUAAUGGGUAAAGAAGCACCGGCUAACUACGUG
This 466-nucleotide ribosomal RNA is filed under the name uncultured bacterium. Its description in RNAcentral is "partial 16S ribosomal RNA". It matches the Rfam family "Bacterial small subunit ribosomal RNA", at positions 29 to 507 of the family's 1533-position model. The record is from RNAcentral.